This 495-nucleotide ribosomal RNA is filed under the name uncultured bacterium. RNAcentral's name for it is "partial 16S ribosomal RNA". It matches the Rfam family "Bacterial small subunit ribosomal RNA", at positions 28 to 507 of the family's 1533-position model. The record is from RNAcentral.
GACGAACGCUGGCGGCGUGCCUAAUACAUGCAAGUAGAACGCUGAAGGAGGAGCUUGCUUCUCUGGAUGAGUUGCGAACGGGUGAGUAACGCGUAGGUAACCUGCCUGGUAGCGGGGGAUAACUAUUGGAAACGAUAGCUAAUACCGCAUAAUAGCAGUUGUUGCAUGAUAACUGUUUGAAAGGUGCAAUUGCACCACUACCAGAUGGACCUGCGUUGUAUUAGCUAGUUGGUGGGGUACCGGCUCACCAAGGCGACGAUACAUAGCCGACCUGAGAGGGUGAUCGGCCACACUGGGACUGAGACACGGCCCAGACUCCUACGGGAGGCAGCAGUAGGGAAUCUUCGGCAAUGGACGGAAGUCUGACCGAGCAACGCCGCGUGAGUGAAGAAGGUUUUCGGAUCGUAAAGCUCUGUUGUAAGAGAAGAACGAGUGUGAGAGUGGAAAGUUCACACUGUGACGGUAUCUUACCAGAAAGGGACGGCUAACUACGUG